AGUAACGCGUGGAUAACCUGCCUCAUACAGGGGGAUAACAGUUAGAAAUGACUGCUAAUACCGCAUAAGCGCACAGUUUCGCAUGGAACAGUGUGAAAAAACUCCGGUGGUAUGAGAUGGAUCCGCGUCUGAUUAGCUAGUUGGCGGGGUAACAGCCCACCAAGGCGACGAUCAGUAGCCGGCCUGAGAGGGUGAACGGCCACAUUGGGACUGAGACACGGCCCAAACUCCUACGGGAGGCAGCAGUGGGGGAUAUUGCACAAUGGGGGAAACCCUGAUGCAGCCGACGCCGCGUGAGUGAAGAAGUAUUUCGGUAUGUAAAGCUCUAUCAGCAGGGAAGAUAAUGACGGUACCUGACUAAGAAGCACCGGCUAAAUACGUGCCAGCAGCGGC
Molecule: ribosomal RNA, 393 nt
Filed under: uncultured bacterium
Lineage: Bacteria
Description: bacterial SSU rRNA
Rfam family: Bacterial small subunit ribosomal RNA
Source: RNAcentral